RNAcentral lists this ribosomal RNA (306 nucleotides) under Novosphingobium aromaticivorans. RNAcentral's name for it is "bacterial SSU rRNA". It matches the Rfam family "Bacterial small subunit ribosomal RNA", at positions 93 to 416 of the family's 1533-position model. The record is from RNAcentral. Lineage: Bacteria; Pseudomonadati; Pseudomonadota; Alphaproteobacteria; Sphingomonadales; Sphingomonadaceae.
UAGUGGCGCACGGGUGCGUAACGCGUGGGAAUCUGCCCUUUGCUUCGGAAUAACUCAGGGAAACUUGUGCUAAUACCGGAUGAUGUCUUCGGACCAAAGAUUUAUCGGCAAGGGAUGAGCCCGCGUAGGAUUAGGUAGUUGGUGGGGUAAAGGCCUACCAAGCCGACGAUCCUUAGCUGGUCUGAGAGGAUGAUCAGCCACACUGGGACUGAGACACGGCCCAGACUCCUACGGGAGGCAGCAGUGGGGAAUAUUGGACAAUGGGCGCAAGCCUGAUCCAGCAAUGCCGCGUGAGUGAUGAAGGCC